UACGGAGGGUGCAAGCGUUAUCCGGAAUUAUUGGGUUUAAAGGGUCCGCAGGCGGUUGAUUAAGUCAGAGGUGAAAUCCCAUAGCUCAACUAUGGAACUGCCUUUGAUACUGGUUAACUUGAGUUAUAUGGAAGUAGAUAGAAUGUGUAGUGUAGCGGUGAAAUGCAUAGAUAUUACACAGAAUACCGAUUGCGAAGGCAGUUUACUACAUAUAUACUGACGCUCAUGGACGAAAGCGUGGGGAGCGAACAGG
This 253-nucleotide ribosomal RNA is filed under the name uncultured bacterium. RNAcentral describes it as "partial 16S ribosomal RNA". It matches the Rfam family "Bacterial small subunit ribosomal RNA", at positions 524 to 776 of the family's 1533-position model. The record is from RNAcentral.